UGGGGAAUAUUGGGCAAUGGACGCAAGUCUGACCCAGCAACGCCGCGUGAAGGAAGAAGGCUUUCGGGUUGUAAACUUCUUUGACAGGGGAAGAGUAGAAGACGGUACCCUGAAAACAAGCCACGGCUAACUACGUGCCAGCAGCCGCGGUAAUACGUAGGUGGCAAGCGUUGUCCGGAUUUACUGGGUGUAAAGGGCGUGCAGCCGGGCUGACAAGUCAGAUGUGAAAACCAGGGGCUUAACCUCUGGACUGCAUUUGAAACUGUUGGUCUUGAGUAUCGGAGAGGUGACCGGAAUUCCUAGUGUAGCGGUGAAAUGCGUAGAUAUUAGGAAGAACAGCAGUGGCGAAGGCGGGUUACUGGACGACAACUGACGGUGAGGCGAGAAAGCGUGGGGAGCA
Molecule: ribosomal RNA, 400 nt
Filed under: uncultured bacterium
Lineage: Bacteria
Description: bacterial SSU rRNA
Rfam family: Bacterial small subunit ribosomal RNA
Source: RNAcentral